Long non-coding RNA from Catharus ustulatus (Swainson's thrush), 729 nucleotides. RefSeq lists it as uncharacterized. The transcript is spliced from 3 exons. Lineage: Eukaryota; Metazoa; Chordata; Aves; Passeriformes; Turdidae. The record is from RefSeq and is a predicted model, not a curated record.
UGAGCCUUUGAAUUUACAGCUGUUCCCUGAUGUCAUUUCCCCUGCCUCACUUCUGUGCAGCUCCUAGCUGGAAAAAACUUGGACAACUUAGAGGGGAGAAAGGUCCUGCUGACCCCAGGAGGUCUCUUGGCUGAAGCAAAGGAAAAGAAGUUGACUUCAACUUGCACUGAAUCCCAUUGCAAGCACUUAGAGGCAGCAUUUGACCACAAAAACUUCAACCUCCUACCCUACCCCUGGUAUCCCAGCCAAAGAAACAUUUCAGAAGAGACAGAAUUUCAAUUUGCUUUCCUCUUCCUGAGAUGGAAACAAUUUCAUGCAAAUCGUUUUAACGUUUUCAAGCUUCAGUGAGGCUAAGAGCCUGCAAGGCUUUGAACAUUUUACUGCCCUGCAUCCAAAUCCAUGUUUGUAGUUAUUAAAAGGACCCAUUUUAACUUGAAAAGUAAGAUACUUGCGAAUUAUAUGCUAUCUCACUAAAGUGAUAAAUAAGAUGGAAAAAGUAAACCUCUUUUACAGCUCUUGUUUCUAAGUUAAGUAAGAUGGAAAAAGGAUGAGUUUCUGGUUGAAACUUUAAGACACCUCAAGGCCUCCACUGACUUAAUAAGGCCAACUGUUUUCUCAUUUCCAAUUUCUUUUAUUAUUUUUUUCUACUUCACUUUGAGCACACAAAAUUAAUAACUAUGUUUUUAUCACAGAGAAAUAAAGUAGCACUGCUGAAAUCUGCAAACACAA